AGUCCUGUAGCUCAGUGGUGAGAGCCCUCGCCUCGUAAGCGAGUGGAACUGGGUUCGAUUCCCGGGCAGGGCAA
Molecule: non-coding RNA, 74 nt
Organism: Callorhinchus milii (elephant shark)
Lineage: Eukaryota; Metazoa; Chordata; Chondrichthyes; Chimaeriformes; Callorhinchidae
Source: the annotation of a RefSeq genome assembly